CCUACGGGGAGCUGCAGUGGGGAAUAUUGGACAAUGGGCGAAAGCCUGAUCCAGCCAUGCCGCGUGUGUGAAGAAGGCCUUCGGGUUGUAAAGCACUUUCAGUGGGGAAGAAAGCCUUGGGGCUAAUACCCUCGAGGAAGGACAUCACCCACAGAAGAAGCACCGGCUAACUCCGUGCCAGCAGCCGCGGUAAUACGGAGGGUGCGAGCGUUAAUCGGAAUUACUGGGCGUAAAGCGCGCGUAGGCGGUCUGAUAAGCCGGUUGUGAAAGCCCCGGGCUCAACCUGGGAACGGCAUCCGGAACUGUCAGGAUAGAGUGCAGGAGAGGAAGGUAGAAUUCCCGGUGUAGCGGUGAAAUGCGUAGAGAUCGGGAGGAAUACCAGUGGCGAAGGCGGCCUUCUGGACUGACACUGACGCUGAGGUGCGAAAGCGUGGGUAGCAAACAGGAUUAGAUACCCCAGUAGUC
This 465-nucleotide ribosomal RNA is filed under the name Vreelandella stevensii. RNAcentral's name for it is "partial 16S ribosomal RNA". It matches the Rfam family "Bacterial small subunit ribosomal RNA", at positions 338 to 795 of the family's 1533-position model. The record is from RNAcentral. Lineage: Bacteria; Pseudomonadati; Pseudomonadota; Gammaproteobacteria; Oceanospirillales; Halomonadaceae.